GGCUGAUCGAAAGGUAGUGAGUUAUCUCAAAUGAUGGUUCCCAGUUACAGAUCGAACUCCUUGUUCCACUCUUCCCUUACCCCCUCCUCACUACUGCACUUGACUAGUCUUUA
RNAcentral lists this Y RNA (113 nucleotides) under Zalophus californianus (California sea lion). Its description in RNAcentral is "Y RNA (ENSZCAG00015021353.1)". It matches the Rfam family "Y RNA". Rfam says of the family: Y RNAs are components of the Ro ribonucleoprotein particle (Ro RNP), in association with Ro60 and La proteins. The Y RNAs and Ro60 and La proteins are well conserved, but the function of the Ro RNP is not known. In humans the RNA component can be one of four small RNAs -- hY1, hY3, hY4 and hY5. The record is from RNAcentral. Lineage: Eukaryota; Metazoa; Chordata; Mammalia; Carnivora; Otariidae.